CCUACGGGAGGCUGCAGUAGGGAAUCUUCCACAAUGGACGAAAGCCUGAAGGAGCAACGCCGCGUGAGGGAAGACGGGCUUCCGCUCGUAAAGCUCUGUUGGUAGUGAAGAAAGAUAGAGGUAGUAACUGGCCUUUAUUUGACGUUAAUUAUUUAGAACGUCACGGCUAACUACGUGCCAGCAGCCGCGGUAAUACGUAGGUGGCAAGCGUUGUCCGGAUUGAUUGGGCGUAAAGCGAGUGCAGGCGGUUCAGUAAGUCUGGUGUGAAAGCCUUCGGCUCAACCGGAGAAUUGCAGCAGAAACUGGUGGACUUGAGUGCAGAUGAGGAGAGUGGAACUCCAGGUGUAGCGGUGAAAUGCGUAGAUAUAUGGAAGAACACCAGUGGCGAAGGCGGCUCGCUGGGCUGCAACUGACGCUGAGGCUCGAAAGCAUGGGUAGCGAACAGGAUUAGAUACCCUAGUAGUC
RNAcentral lists this ribosomal RNA (465 nucleotides) under uncultured bacterium. RNAcentral's name for it is "partial 16S ribosomal RNA". It matches the Rfam family "Bacterial small subunit ribosomal RNA", at positions 338 to 795 of the family's 1533-position model. The record is from RNAcentral.